CAGUGUUCAGCUCAUUUAGAAUUAAUUUAUCUGGCAGGUUUUCUGAUUUUUACCAGAAAUUCCCCA
This is a small nuclear RNA of Sorex araneus (European shrew), 66 nucleotides long. Its record names the gene U7. It matches the Rfam family "U7 small nuclear RNA". From Rfam's summary of the family: Animal histone pre-mRNAs are spliced by a different mechanism than nuclear pre-mRNAs and self-splicing introns. This processing involves the U7 snRNP, which contains only one RNA species: U7. The record is from Ensembl. NCBI's taxonomy places the organism in Eukaryota, Metazoa, Chordata, Mammalia, Eulipotyphla, Soricidae.